CACGUAGGGUGCGAGCGUUGUCCGGAAUUAUUGGGCGUAAAGAGCUCGUAGGCGGUCUGUCGCGUCCGUUGUGAAAACUCGAGGCUCAACCUCGGGCUUGCAGUGGAUACGGGCAGACUAGAGUGCGGUAGGGGAGACUGGAAUUCCUGGUGUAGCGGUGGAAUGCGCAGAUAUCAGGAGGAACACCGAUGGCGAAGGCAGGUCUCUGGGCCGCAACUGACGCUGAGGAGCGAAAGCAUGGGGAGCGAACAGG
RNAcentral lists this ribosomal RNA (253 nucleotides) under uncultured bacterium. RNAcentral describes it as "partial 16S ribosomal RNA". It matches the Rfam family "Bacterial small subunit ribosomal RNA", at positions 524 to 776 of the family's 1533-position model. The record is from RNAcentral.